AUUGUAUGCUUACUUCAAAAGUUUGAACUGUCGAUAUUAGCUGACCACAAAUGAUGCAUGAACAACUGCGAGAAAUUCUUUGUAUUUAUUUUUGACUUUUCAAUUACCAUUUUUCGCCUGCUUUUCAUAAACGGCUACCACAUCCAAGGAAGGCAGCAAGCGCGCAAAUUACCCACUCUCGGCAUGAGGAGGUAGUGACGAAAAAUAACGAGACCGUUCUCUAUGAGGCCGGUUAUCGGAAUGGGUACAAUUUAAACCCGUUAACGAGGAUCUAUGAGAGGGCAAGUCUAGUGCCAGCAGCCGCAGUAAUUCCAGCUCUCAAAGUGUAUAU
This 331-nucleotide non-coding RNA is filed under the name Toxocara canis (dog roundworm). RNAcentral describes it as "Eukaryotic small subunit ribosomal RNA". It matches the Rfam family "Eukaryotic small subunit ribosomal RNA", at positions 201 to 604 of the family's 1831-position model. Lineage: Eukaryota; Metazoa; Nematoda; Chromadorea; Rhabditida; Toxocaridae. The record is from Rfam by way of RNAcentral.